RNAcentral lists this ribosomal RNA (301 nucleotides) under uncultured bacterium. RNAcentral describes it as "partial 16S ribosomal RNA". It matches the Rfam family "Bacterial small subunit ribosomal RNA", at positions 509 to 807 of the family's 1533-position model. The record is from RNAcentral.
CAGCAGCCGCGGUAAUGCGAAGGGUGCAAGCGUUAAUCGGAAUUACUGGGCGUAAAGCGUGCGCAGGCGGUUUGUUAAGACAGAUGUGAAAUCCCCGGGCUCAACCUGGGAACUGCAUUUGUGACUGGCAAGCUAGAGUGUGGCAGAGGGGGGUGGAAUUCCGCGUGUAGCAGUGAAAUGCGUAGAGAUCUGGAGGAAUACCGGUGGCGAAGGCGGCCCUCUGGACAAAGACUGACGCUCAGGUGCGAAAGCGUGGGGAGCAAACAGGAUUAGAUACCCCAGUAGUCCCUGUCUCUUAUAC